UACGUAGGGUGCGAGCGUUAAUCGGAAUUACUGGGCGUAAAGCGUGCGCAGGCGGCUUUGCAAGACAGAUGUGAAAUCCCCGGGCUCAACCUCGGAACUGCAUUUGUGACUGCAAGGCUAGAGUACGGCAGAGGGGGAUGGAAUUCCGCGUGUAGCAGUGAAAUGCGUAGAUAUGCGGAGGAACACCAAUGGCGAAGGCAAUCCCCUGGGCCUGUACUGACGCUCAUGCACGAAAGCGUGGGGAGCAAACAGG
RNAcentral lists this ribosomal RNA (253 nucleotides) under uncultured bacterium. RNAcentral describes it as "partial 16S ribosomal RNA". It matches the Rfam family "Bacterial small subunit ribosomal RNA", at positions 524 to 776 of the family's 1533-position model. The record is from RNAcentral.